RNAcentral lists this ribosomal RNA (253 nucleotides) under uncultured bacterium. RNAcentral's name for it is "partial 16S ribosomal RNA". It matches the Rfam family "Bacterial small subunit ribosomal RNA", at positions 524 to 776 of the family's 1533-position model. The record is from RNAcentral.
UACGAAGGGGGCUAGCGUUGUUCGGAAUUACUGGGCGUAAAGCGCGCGCAGGCGGCUAUCCAAGUCAGUGGUGAAAGCCCGGAGCUCAACUCCGGAACUGCCAUUGAAACUGUUUAGCUUGAGGACGAGAGAGGUGAGUGGAAUUCCCAGUGUAGAGGUGAAAUUCGUAGAUAUUGGGAAGAACACCGGUGGCGAAGGCGGCUCACUGGCUCGUAUCUGACGCUCAGGCGCGACAGCGUGGGGAUCGAACAGG